AGGCGGCCCCUUUUCGAUAAUCGAUGGAAAGAGAGGUGUUAAUUAGCUCAUAAAAUGAAUUCGUUUUACGCUCUUAGAUUCACCGAAAUAUACUUACAUCUUUAAAGCUGGUCUAGUAAUCUUAAGCACAAU
This is a non-coding RNA of Solanum lycopersicum (tomato), 132 nucleotides long. NCBI's taxonomy places the organism in Eukaryota, Viridiplantae, Streptophyta, Magnoliopsida, Solanales, Solanaceae. The record is from Rfam.